This 550-nucleotide ribosomal RNA is filed under the name uncultured bacterium. RNAcentral's name for it is "bacterial SSU rRNA". It matches the Rfam family "Bacterial small subunit ribosomal RNA", at positions 355 to 896 of the family's 1533-position model. The record is from RNAcentral.
UAGGGAAUCUUCGGCAAUGGGGGCAACCCUGACCGAGCAACGCCGCGUGAGUGAAGAAGGUUUUCGGAUCGUAAAGCUCUGUUGUAAGUCAAGAACGAGUGUGAGAGUGGAAAGUUCACACUGUGACGGUAGCUUACCAGAAAGGGACGGCUAACUACGUGCCAGCAGCCGCGGUAAUACGUAGGUCCCGAGCGUUGUCCGGAUUUAUUGGGCGUAAAGCGAGCGCAGGCGGUUAGAUAAGUCUGAAGUGAAAGGCAGUGGCUCAACCAUUGUAGGCUUUGGAAACUGUUUAACUUGAGUGCAGAAGGGGAGAGUGGAAUUCCAUGUGUAGCGGUGAAAUGCGUAGAUAUAUGGAGGAACACCGGUGGCGAAAGCGGCUCUCUGGUCUGUAACUGACGCUGAGGCUCGAAAGCGUGGGGAGCGAACAGGAUUAGAUACCCUGGUAGUCCACGCCGUAAACGAUGAGUGCUAGGUGUUAGGUCCUUUCCGGGACUUAGUGCCGCAGCUAACGCAUUAAGCACUCCGCCUGGGGAGUACGACCGCAAGGUUG